AGAGUUUGAUCCUGGCUCAGGAUGAACGCUAGCGGCAGGCCUAAUACAUGCAAGUCGAACGGUGAUAGCAAUAUCAUAGUGGCGCACGGGUGCGUAACACGUAUGCAACCUACCUUAUACUGAGGGAUAGCCUUUCGAAAGGGAGAUUAAUACCUCAUAACACAUUGAACUGGCAUCAGUUUAUUGUUAAAGAUUUAUUGGUAUAAGAUGGGCAUGCGUCCAAUUAGUUAGUUGGCGAGGUAACGGCUCACCAAGACGAUGAUUGGUAGGGGAACUGAGAGGUUAAUCCCCCACACUGGCACUGAGAUACGGGCCAGACUCCUACGGGAGGCAGCAGUAGGGAAUAUUGGGCAAUGGAGGCAACUCUGACCCAGCCAUGCCGCGUGCAGGAAGAAGGCGUUAUGCGUUGUAAACUGCUUUUAUAUAGGAAGAAAUAGACCUUGCGAGGUAAGUUGACGGUACUAUAUGAAUAAGCACCGGCUAACUCCGUGCCAGCAGCCGCGGUGAUACGGAGGGUGCAAGCGUUGUCCGGAUUUAUUGGGUUUAAAGGGUGCGUANGCGGUUUAUUAAGUCAGUGGUGAAAGACGGUCGCUCAACGAUUGCAGUGCCAUUGAUACUGGUAGACUUGA
RNAcentral lists this ribosomal RNA (629 nucleotides) under uncultured bacterium. RNAcentral's name for it is "bacterial SSU rRNA". It matches the Rfam family "Bacterial small subunit ribosomal RNA", at positions 8 to 645 of the family's 1533-position model. The record is from RNAcentral.